Molecule: long non-coding RNA, 606 nt
Organism: Stegodyphus dumicola
Lineage: Eukaryota; Metazoa; Arthropoda; Arachnida; Araneae; Eresidae
Source: RefSeq, a predicted model, not a curated record
AAAUGACACGUACUGGGCGACUACUUUGUUCUCGAGGACUUCAUCCCCUUCCAAGAAGACCUUGUAUGCUACCGGUCACAUUAAUAACAGACUUGUUCCUUGCCUUCCCCCUGUCUGAAAUUUCGCCAUAGAUUGCGCCAAAGGAGUUUCAUUUUCCCGCCAGAAAAUACGGAGGUUCGAUUUUGAAAAAGGCUAUCUGUGAAAUCUUCCAGGGGUAAUUGAAGAUUAUCUCAACACAUUUUAUUGAAAAAGGCAGUACGUUUACUUAAUUUCUUCUGUUUAUGGUCUGAACAACUAUAUGCAAGUUUUAUGUAAAAACAGAAUCGGAUCUAGAAAAGCAUUUAAGAAGUACUCUCGUUUUGUAAAACAGUUCAUAUAUCCUUGACCUCAGCUGGAACAACUGAAGUAUGACUUUCAAGAGAUUAAUAAAAUGUGCCUCUGAUCUCAAUACCUCACCAAGUGACUGCUCUCUUCAGCAUAUAUACAAGACUAUUCUUCAGAACGCGUUGCCAGUUUUCAUUUGUCAUGAUAAUUAGUAUCUAAUUAUAUUAUUGUAUAUAUUACAUCAUCUGUAAUAUUUCAUUAAUAAAUUAUUCCAAAAGUGAA